This 100-nucleotide ribosomal RNA is filed under the name Providencia rettgeri. RNAcentral's name for it is "partial 23S ribosomal RNA". It matches the Rfam family "Bacterial large subunit ribosomal RNA", at positions 2826 to 2925 of the family's 2925-position model. RNAcentral also lists the same sequence under 1 other name. Lineage: Bacteria; Pseudomonadati; Pseudomonadota; Gammaproteobacteria; Enterobacterales; Morganellaceae. The record is from RNAcentral.
CCUAAAGGAACGUUUAAGACUAAGACGUUGAUAGGUUGGGUGUGUAAGCGUAGCGAUACGUUGAGCUAACCAAUACUAAUGAACCGUGAGGCUUAACCUG